This 493-nucleotide ribosomal RNA is filed under the name uncultured bacterium. Its description in RNAcentral is "partial 16S ribosomal RNA". It matches the Rfam family "Bacterial small subunit ribosomal RNA", at positions 30 to 523 of the family's 1533-position model. The record is from RNAcentral.
AUUGAACGCUGGCGGCAUGCCUUACACAUGCAAGUCGAACGGUAACAGGUUAAGCUGACGAGUGGCGAACGGGUGAGUAAUAUAUCGGAACGUGCCCAGUAGUGGGGGAUAGCCCGGCGAAAGCCGGAUUAAUACCGCAUACGACCUAAGGGUGAAAGGGGGGGAUCGCAAGACCUCUCGCUAUUGGAGCGGCCGAUAUCAGAUUAGGUAGUUGGUGGGGUAAAGGCCCACCAAGCCUGCGAUCUGUAGUUGGUCUGAGAGGACGACCAGCCACACUGGGACUGAGACACGGCCCAGACUCCAACGGGAGGCAGCAGUGGGGAAUUUUGGACAAUGGGCGCAAGCCUGAUCCAGCAAUGUCGCGUGCAGGAAGAAGGCCUUCGGGUUGUAAACUGCUUUUGUCAGGGAAGAAAUCCUGUGGGUUAAUACCUCGUGGGGAUGACGGUACCUGAAGAAUAAGCACCGGCUAACUACGUGCCAGCCGCCGCAGUAA